GUUUUUAUUAUUUUUUUUUACCUUUUGAUAGUUUUAAGGUUAGUUAAGUAAUUUGUAUUAUAUUGAAUGAAUUAAAGAUGAGAUUUUUAUGGGAUUGUAUUUCACAUUCUGUCAACUAUAUUUAUUUUCUUUCGUCUAGGUUUUUAGUUUUCUGUUCUUAAUACUGAACAUUAGUUUUCUCUCAUAUUUUCUGUAAGUCUUCAUUUUCUUUCAUACGGCUAAUCUCAGUUCUUAUAGAAGCCAGUGGAAGCAAU
This 254-nucleotide long non-coding RNA is filed under the name Salvia miltiorrhiza (redroot sage). RNAcentral's name for it is "long non-coding RNA (SMIL_LNC009874)". Lineage: Eukaryota; Viridiplantae; Streptophyta; Magnoliopsida; Lamiales; Lamiaceae. The record is from RNAcentral.